Molecule: long non-coding RNA, 940 nt
Organism: Bactrocera tryoni
Lineage: Eukaryota; Metazoa; Arthropoda; Insecta; Diptera; Tephritidae
Exons: 2
Source: RefSeq, a predicted model, not a curated record
UGUUUGGCAACUCUAUGAUUAUUAAACUAAUAAUAAUAAAUAAUUUUUAAACUUGGCAGCACUGAUAUCUGCAAAAACAAUUGAUGCACCACUGCUCUUUAUUCCAUUUGUCCGUUAUUAAACAAGUCACUACAUCUAUUGAAUAUGGAUACAGAUGAAGAUGAAAUCUUUGAUAAUUUGCAAUAUGCGAAAAUAUAUCCAAUAUGUCUGCAGAACCAACACCAACGCCAGAUAAAAAGAGAAAGCGUUUUCAAGUUACAACGGCAUGGUCCUCGGAAGAUGUUUUUAAUUAAAUAGAAAUAAUAGAAAAACAUCCUUGUCUGUGGGAAUAUUCUUCAUCAGACUAUAAAAACCGACAGAAGAGAGAGAACGCAUGGAGAGAAGUUGCAGCGAACUGUCAUGGCCGUAGCGUUGAUGAGUGCAAAGCCAAGUGGGCGAAUGUGAAAACAGCGUACAAUAAUACAAAAAACAAAUUACAGGCAAAGUCUGGUCAGAGUGCGUCAAGUUCACAACCUCAUUGGCAAUUUUGGACUGCAAUGCAGUUUUAUCAUAACCACGACAAAAAAAAAAACGACUUCAUCUGUUUCAAAUAUAAGCCCUGAUAGUGAAAGUUUACCAAACACGCAUUUUCAAUCCAUCAACAUGCAAUCCAACGCAUCAACAUCAUCGCCAGCUGAUGCAGCAACCAAUUCGCCAGAAGAUAUUUUAAAACGCGCAACAGAUUUGUUGUAUGCAGAAAAAGAAGACAAGUGGUAUUCCUUCGGCAUGUACAUAGCGUCGCAAAUGCGUGAACUGAAUGCAAAAAAUGAGAAAGCAGCAAAAAAACUUGAAAUUAAUAUUAUGAAGUGCACUAUAGAUGCGCUUUCAGAAUUAAAUGAUGAUUGAUAUUUCAUUGAAUUGUUUUUUCUUCUAUAUUAAUAAAGUUACAGACAUAUUUAAA